CAACACACAACACAGCCAACACACACAGCACACACCCACAACACACACACGCAACACACAACUCACACACAGUACACCCAACAAACACACUCUAUACCCAACAACACAUAUUCCAACACACAACACAUGCACACAACAUAGCCAACACACACAAACCCAAUCAAUACAUCACACAAUACACACCCAACAAACAGCCACGACACACACACCCAACACACACACAACUCACACACAACACACCCAACACAUCCAACACACACACCCAACACACACAUCACACAACUCUAUACGGAACCAGGAUCUGAGAGCUCUCCUGUCCUGGGGAAUGGAAUGGGGAGUGGUGAGGGGUUGUGGUCCUUAGUAAUUUGGGUGUGGACCUCCAUAAACCUGCAUUU
RNAcentral lists this long non-coding RNA (395 nucleotides) under Homo sapiens (human). RNAcentral's name for it is "non-protein coding lnc-PXDC1-5:1". The record is from RNAcentral. Lineage: Eukaryota; Metazoa; Chordata; Mammalia; Primates; Hominidae.